This 484-nucleotide ribosomal RNA is filed under the name uncultured bacterium. Its description in RNAcentral is "partial 16S ribosomal RNA". It matches the Rfam family "Bacterial small subunit ribosomal RNA", at positions 30 to 507 of the family's 1533-position model. The record is from RNAcentral.
AUUGAACGCUGGCGGAAUGCUUUACACAUGCAAGUCGAACGGCAGCACGGGGGCAACCCUGGUGGCGAGUGGCGAACGGGUGAGUAAUACAUCGGAACGUGCCCGGUCGUGGGGGAUAACGUAGCGAAAGUUACGCUAAUACCGCAUACGAUCUGAGGAUGAAAGCGGGGGACCUUCGGGCCUCGCGCGAUCGGAGCGGCCGAUGUCAGAUUAGGUAGUUGGUGGGGUAAAGGCCUACCAAGCCGACGAUCUGUAGCUGGUCUGAGAGGACGACCAGCCACACUGGGACUGAGACACGGCCCAGACUCCUACGGGAGGAAGCAGUGGGGAAUUUUGGACAAUGGGCGAAAGCCUGAUCCAGCCAUUCCGCGUGCAGGACGAAGGACUUCGGGUUGUAAACUGCUUUUGUAUGGAACGAAAAGGCUCUGGCUAAUACCUGGGGAUCAUGACGGUACCGUAAGAAUAAGCACCGGCUAACUACGUG